AUUCAGCCCCCGCCUCCGAUGCUGCGUGCUGUUCCGCGCGGUCGUCCGAGUCUCGUGUUCCGACGAGGAGGCCACAGUUUUCAAAUUGUCUUGACAAAAUGAUAGACUUUCGCAUGAAUUCGGGGAGUGCCGACGCCGACAAUGGGGGAUACAGCAACACCAAUAUACCGGUCACCUCGCAACAGGGUUUGGCUUCGCUCAGCCCAUAUUUGAAUUUUGACCCAUCAUACCUUCCCGUCAGUCAACCGGAAUUUAUAUUUCCCGACGGCGCCGUGAAGCAGAGGGGCCGCUUCGAGUUAGCUUUCAGUCAAAUUGGAGCUGCGUGCAUAGCGGGGGCAGGGAUCGGCGGCGCGUCGGGUUUGUACAGAGGCAUCAAGGCAACGUCUAUCGCUGGCGAGACAGGCAAACUCAGGAGAACACAAUUGAUCAAUUAUGUUAUGAAGGGUGGUGCCAGUAUGGCAAAUUCGCUCGGUGUGAUAAUGAUAAUGUAUACCUGCGCUGGAAUAGGUCUGACUUGGUUAAGAGGAACCGACGACAGUUUGAAUACAGUAGCUGCAGCUGCCACGAGCGCUACGAUAUUUAGAUCGCCUGCCGGGAUCAGGAAAGCUGGUAUCGCCGGUGCUGUCGCGGCAGGAGUUGCAGUGAUGUACUGUGCUUGGAAUAACGGAGGCUUACCGUUGCAUCGUGUGAAUAGAUGGAAACAUGCGGCGUAAGAAGAAAUCUCCCUUGUCUCCAAUUCAUUCAGUACGGCGCUUUUGCAAACAAAUUGUUUUCCAACAUGAACUGAGGCCAAGCUUCUAUUUUUGCAAGUUAUAACAAAUUGACCUCCAUAAAAGACCUCAUAAAAGAUCUCCGAUGCGUUUUCAUACCUUCACGUUACAUUGUACAUAGAAAAACUUAUCGACGCAAAUAAAUUAUUAAAGGAAU
Molecule: RNA transcript, 927 nt
Organism: Temnothorax curvispinosus
Lineage: Eukaryota; Metazoa; Arthropoda; Insecta; Hymenoptera; Formicidae
Gene: Tim23
Gene name: mitochondrial import inner membrane translocase subunit Tim23
Exons: 6
Source: RefSeq, a predicted model, not a curated record